This 498-nucleotide long non-coding RNA is filed under the name Triticum aestivum (bread wheat). RNAcentral describes it as "long non-coding RNA (TAES_LNC000638)". Lineage: Eukaryota; Viridiplantae; Streptophyta; Magnoliopsida; Poales; Poaceae. The record is from RNAcentral.
ACAGGAAGAAAUCAUAUAUCAUAUAUGAGAUAAAAUUGUUGGAUUACAAUAGUGGAUAUUACAAGAGAAACAUCAUCCAAACGUGAUGCAUAAUCUAACUACUUUCUUGAUAGUGAAACUUAAACUAAAGCAUUCAACUUCCCAACAACUUAACUAAAACUUAAUCGAGGAACAACAUCCAACAGGAACAUCAUCCCGAGAACAUAACUAAAACUGAAAGCAUCCAUCAUCGUCGCCAUCAUGAAGCAGAAUAUCAACAUCAUCAUUGCAGUACACUUGCCACCCACCCAUAUACUCAUGCAUUUAUCUUUUGAAUCUACAAACAAGAAAAAAAAUGAACUGUUAACACACAAUGCAUUGACAUGAUGCAAGUAGUAAUAGAGGCAAGAUAUUAGUCACGUACAAAGGUUGAGGGCCAUGCAAUCUUUGUUUUUUCUGCAUUGCCGAGAGUAGUGCCGUUUUUGCGACUCCGUACCAAAUUUUCAGUUUUCACAAGUG